This 468-nucleotide ribosomal RNA is filed under the name uncultured bacterium. RNAcentral describes it as "partial 16S ribosomal RNA". It matches the Rfam family "Bacterial small subunit ribosomal RNA", at positions 28 to 507 of the family's 1533-position model. The record is from RNAcentral.
GACGAACGCUGGCGGCGUGCUUAACACAUGCAAGUCGAACGGAAAGGCCCUGCUUUUGUGGGGUUCUCGAGUGGCGAACGGGUGAGUAACACGUGAGUAACCUGCCCUUGACUUUGGGAUAACUUCAGGAAACUGGGGCUAAUACCGGAGAGGAGCUCCUGCUGCAGGGUGGGGGUUGGAAAGUUUCGGCGGUUGGGGAUGGACUCGCGGCUUAUCAGCUUGUUGGGGGGGUAGUGGCUUACCAAGGCUUUGACGGGUAGCCGGCCUGAGAGGGUGACCGGCGACCUUGGGACUGAGAUACGGCCCAGACGGCAACGGGAGGCAGCAGUGGGGAAUAUUGCACAAUGGGGGCAAGCGUGAUGAGGCAACGCCGCGUGCGGGAUGACGGCCUUCGGGUUGUAAACCGCUUUCGCCUGUGACGAAGCGUGAGUGACGGUAAUGGGUAAAGAAGCACCGGCUAACUACGUG